GUGGAUAUUGUUAUGACCUAAUAUGUGAAACCUUUCAUUUUUGUGUCUGUUGCUUUUUUAUUCUCCCCCUGUAGUUGGUACAUGUUGAUUAUGAGGUGUGAGGAUAUUUGACACAAUCUGUGGCACAUUCAAAAAUGAUUUGAGAGAGUUUAAGACUCUUAGAGGUUUUAAAAAGCCAUUAGUUUGACUUCAGUCAUAUACUAUGUUUUAAGUGCUAG
RNAcentral lists this long non-coding RNA (218 nucleotides) under Capsicum annuum. Its description in RNAcentral is "long non-coding RNA (CANN_LNC010353)". The record is from RNAcentral. Lineage: Eukaryota; Viridiplantae; Streptophyta; Magnoliopsida; Solanales; Solanaceae.